CUACCCUUGACAUGCCAGGAAUCCUGCAGAGAUGUGGGAGUGCUCGAAAGAGAACCUGGACACAGGUGCUGCAUGGCUGUCGUCAGCUCGUGUCGUGAGAUGUUGGGUUAAGUCCCGCAACGAGCGCAACCCUUGUCAUUAGUUGCCAUCAUUUAGUUGGGCACUCUAAUGAGACUGCCGGUGACAAACCGGAGGAAGGUGGGGAUGACGUCAAGUCCUCAUGGCCCUUAUGGGUAGGGCUUCACACGUCAUACAAUGGUCGGUACAAAGGGUUGCCAAGCCGCGAGGUGGAGCCAAUCCCAGAAAGCCGAUCGUAGUCCGGAUCGGAGUCUGCAACUCGACUCCGUGAAGUCGGAAUCGCUAGUAAUCGUGGAUCAGCAUGCCACGGUGAAUACGUUCC
Molecule: ribosomal RNA, 400 nt
Filed under: uncultured bacterium
Lineage: Bacteria
Description: bacterial SSU rRNA
Rfam family: Bacterial small subunit ribosomal RNA
Source: RNAcentral